UCGGACAUGGUGUACGGCGCACGGCCUCACUUCUUAUCUCAGCUACAGCGCUGUGAGAGGUAGACCGGGGUUCGACUCCCCGUGUCCGAA
This is a non-coding RNA of Mycena epipterygia, 90 nucleotides long. Lineage: Eukaryota; Fungi; Basidiomycota; Agaricomycetes; Agaricales; Mycenaceae. The record is from the annotation of a GenBank genome assembly.